RNAcentral lists this long non-coding RNA (1164 nucleotides) under Rosa chinensis. RNAcentral describes it as "sRNA RchiOBHm_Chr3g0465171". Lineage: Eukaryota; Viridiplantae; Streptophyta; Magnoliopsida; Rosales; Rosaceae. The record is from RNAcentral.
UUGCCUUGGCGCCUGUCGUGCUGCUCAGUGCUACGUGUGUUUGCUUUACGCAACGACAGCACGGGUGAGAGGGAGAUUCAGGUCAACCAGCUGGAUAGCUGGAUAGUGAGUGAGAGUGUGAGAUUUAGUUCUGAAUUUGAGAGAGGUUUUGAUCAACAAUUGUGGUUGUUGAUUGACAGAGAAAAAAGUGCUUCGUUCAAAUACUUGGUCCGCCAUGUAAGUCUCUGGCACCGCUUCGUUCUUUCCAAUUUGUUGAUCGAGAGAGAGAGAGAGAGAGAGAGAGAGAGAGGAAGAAAGGAUAGGAGCAGGGUAUUUUGCAUGUUUUCGUUCUUCUAAAGUCUACUAAAUCCGACUCCUACGCAUCUUCCAGCUCCGGCGCCGACAAAUCUCCCGAUUCUAAGGAUCCUUGGUGUUUGAAUUUCUAUGCGUACAAGGCCACAUUCAGACAAAGCAUAUAUAGUCCUUUUGGUUUGCUGCUACUGAAUAAUCAACCAAGUUUAGAUCAGUUUUCUAGGUCUGUGGGAAAGCUAAUAGAUGCAUACCGAUUUUUACACAAAGAGAAGGACAUGGAGCGUGGCUUCUCCUGGUCAGGAAAUCCCAUUGGAAAGUAGACCAUAUGGUUCAUGCACAUAGGAACUUGCCGUUGAAAAUAAAUUGGAUUACUGUUGUGUUGGUCGAGUUGAAGUGAUGUAGAAUCAUAGUGAUUCCAUCUGAAUGUGCAAUCAUUAGAUGUAUAGAGGCAAAAGGAUGAGGAUAGACUACUUCAUAGCUGCAGAGCAACUCAAAGAUAGGAUUGUUUCAUGUGAGAUGCACGGGCAAGGGAUGAAUUACAAGGUUUGCUGACUGCGGUGCAGAAGGACUACUUUAAACUUCUACAUUAUCAAUAGUUGCAUUUCGAUGAUUGUGGAAAUCGUGUUUCUCAGUUGUUACAUGUUGAAUUAGCUGCCCCAGCUUCACAGUUUCAAAACAAUGAUAUUCUAGAAGACCUCAUGAUUCAAAUUUGUGUAUAGUAAUUAGCUAAAGUACCAGAUUUUGGAUCAUGUAAAACAAUAUUCGAUGUGUAUAUACAACGCAUUUAUAUAGUGUACCUAAUAUUUGUAAAUUCAAUACUGUUGAAGUCAAUAAUGUCCAUGAUAUACCCGCAGCAUCGCGCGGGCUAUCUCG